GAUGAACGCUGGCGGCGUGCCUAAUACAUGCAAGUCGAGCGAACAGAUAAGGAGCUUGCUCCUUUGACGUUAGCGGCGGACGUGUGAGUAACAUGUGGUUAACCCACCUAUAAGACAAGGAUAACUUCGGGAAACCGGAGCUAAUACCGGAUAACAGCUGGAACCGCAUGGUUCUAAAGUGAAAGAUGGUUUUGCUAUCACUUAUAGAUGUACCCGCGCGGGAUUAGCUAGUUGGUAAGGUAACGGCUUACCAAGGCAACGCUAGGCAGCCGACCUGAGAGGGUGAUCGGGCACACUGGGACUGAGACACGGUACAGAGUCCUACGGAAGGCAGAGAUAGCGAAGCGAGGGAGAAGGGCGGAAGCCUGAAGGAGCGGCGCAACGUGGGUGAAGAAGGGCUUCGGGUCGUAAAACUGUGUUAUUAGGGAAGACCGCUUGUGUAAGUAACGAUGCACGUCUUGACGGUACCUAAACAGAAAGCAACGGCUAACUACGUG
This 497-nucleotide ribosomal RNA is filed under the name uncultured bacterium. RNAcentral describes it as "partial 16S ribosomal RNA". It matches the Rfam family "Bacterial small subunit ribosomal RNA", at positions 28 to 507 of the family's 1533-position model. The record is from RNAcentral.